AUUUGGAAGGAGUUUGAUUGAAUUUCCCGGCCGCCACUUCCCCCUUCGUACGGGAGGUGCAGUGAGGAAUAUUGCGCAAUGGACGAAAGUCUGACGCAGCCAUGCCGCGUGCAGGAUGACGGCCCUACGGGUUGUAAACUGCUUUUUUACAGGAAGAACUCCCCCUACGUGUAGGGGGCUGACGGUACUGUAUGAAUAAACAUCGGCUAACUCCGUGCCAGCACCCGCGGUAAUACGGAGGAUGCAAGCGUUAUCCGGAUUUAUUGGGUUUAAAGGGUGCGUAGGCGGAAUAAUACCCCAGUGGUGAAAUCCUGCACCUUAACUGUAAAACUGCCCUUGAUACUGUUAUUCUGGACUGCGAUUGAGGUAUGCAGAAUGCGUUAUGUCGCGUUGAAAUGCUUAUAUAUUACACAAACCACUGAUUGCCUAGGCUCCUUACUCAGUCACAACUGACUUAAAGGCACGAUUGCGUGGG
This 475-nucleotide ribosomal RNA is filed under the name uncultured bacterium. Its description in RNAcentral is "bacterial SSU rRNA". It matches the Rfam family "Bacterial small subunit ribosomal RNA", at positions 279 to 765 of the family's 1533-position model. The record is from RNAcentral.